This 354-nucleotide ribosomal RNA is filed under the name uncultured Bacteroidota bacterium. Its description in RNAcentral is "bacterial SSU rRNA". It matches the Rfam family "Bacterial small subunit ribosomal RNA", at positions 8 to 355 of the family's 1533-position model. Lineage: Bacteria; Pseudomonadati; Bacteroidota. The record is from RNAcentral.
AGAGUUUGAUCCUGGCUCAGGAUGAACGCUAGCGGCAGGCUUAAUACAUGCAAGUCGAGGGGCAGCAGGACUGUAGCAAUACAGUUGCUGGCGACCGGCAAACGGGUGCGGAACACGUACGCAACUUACCCAAAACUGGGGAAUAGCCCGGGGAAACCCGGAUUAAUACCUCGUAACAUAAUGAAGUGGCAUCACUUUAUUAUUAUAGCUCCGGCGGUUUUGGAUGGGCGUGCGCCUGAUUAGGUAGUUGGCGGGGUAACGGCCCACCAAGCCUACGAUCAGUAACUGGUGUGAGAGCACGACCAGUCACACGGGCACUGAGACACGGGCCCGACUCCUACGGGAGGCAGCAGU